RNAcentral lists this ribosomal RNA (253 nucleotides) under uncultured bacterium. Its description in RNAcentral is "partial 16S ribosomal RNA". It matches the Rfam family "Bacterial small subunit ribosomal RNA", at positions 524 to 776 of the family's 1533-position model. The record is from RNAcentral.
UACGGAGGGUGCGAGCGUUAAUCGGAAUAAUUGGGCGUAAAGGGUCCGCAGGCGGGCUUUUAAGUGAGGUGUGAAAUCCUCGGGCUUAACCUGGGAAUAGCAUUUCAGACUGGAAGUCUAGAGUACUUUAGGGGGGGGGAGAAUUCCACGUGUAGCGGUGAAAUGCGUAGAGAUGUGGAGGAAUACCGAAGGCGAAGGCGGCCCCUUGGAAAUGUACUGACACUCAUGUGCGAAAGCGCGGGGAGCAAAGGGG